GAGGAAAAGAAACCAACAGGGAUUGCCUCAGUAACGGCGAGUGAAGCGGCAACAGCUCAAAUUUGAAAUCUGGCUCUUUCAGGGUCCGAGUUGUAAUUUGUAGAGGAUGCUUCGGGCGUGGCGCGGGUCUAAGUUCCUUGGAACAGGACGUCAUAGAGGGUGAGAAUCCCGUAUGCGACCCAUCGCCUCCGUCCAUGUGAAGCUCCUUCGACGAGUCGAGUUGUUUGGGAAUGCAGCUCAAAAUGGGUGGUAAAUUUCAUCUAAAGCUAAAUAUUGGCCAGAGACCGAUAGCGCACAAGUAGAGUGAUCGAAAGAUGAAAAGCACUUUGGAAAGAGAGUUAAAAAGUACGUGAAAUUGUUGAAAGGGAAGCGCUUGCAACCAGACUUGCUCGCGGUUGCUCAGCCGGUGUUCUCACCGGUGCACUCUUCCGCGAUCAGGCCAGCAUCGGUUUGGGCGGCUGGAUAAAGGCUUCGGGAAUGUAGCUCCUCUCGGGGAGUGUUAUAGCCCGGGGUGCAAUGCAGCCUGCCCGGACCGAGGACCGCGCUUCGGCUAGGAUGCUGGCGUAAUGGUUGUAAGCGACCCGUCUUGAAACACGGACCAAGGAGUCUAACAUCUAUGCGAGUGUUUGGGUGUCAAACCCAUGCGCGUAAUGAAAGUGAACGGAGGUGGGAACCCUUAAGGGUGCACCAUCGACCGAUCCUGAUGUUGUCUUCGGAUGGAUUUGAGUAAGAGCAUAGCUGUUGGGACCCGAAAGAUGGUGAACUAUGCCUGAAUAGGGUGAAGCCAGAGGAAACUCUGGUGGAGGCUCGCAGCGGUUCUGACGUGCAAAUCGAUCGUCAAAUUUGGGUAUAGGGGCGAAAGACUAAUCGAACCAUCUAGUAGCUGGUUCCUGC
This 894-nucleotide ribosomal RNA is filed under the name Hormococcus conorum. RNAcentral describes it as "LSU rRNA". It matches the Rfam family "Eukaryotic large subunit ribosomal RNA", at positions 53 to 961 of the family's 3401-position model. Lineage: Eukaryota; Fungi; Ascomycota. The record is from RNAcentral.